RNAcentral lists this ribosomal RNA (492 nucleotides) under uncultured bacterium. Its description in RNAcentral is "partial 16S ribosomal RNA". It matches the Rfam family "Bacterial small subunit ribosomal RNA", at positions 29 to 507 of the family's 1533-position model. The record is from RNAcentral.
AGUGAACGCUGGCGGUAGGCCUAACACAUGCAAGUCGAACGGCAGCACAGUAAGAGCUUGCUCUUACGGGUGGCGAGUGGCGGACGGGUGAGGAAUACAUCGGAAUCUACUUUUUCGUGGGGGAUAACGUAGGGAAACUUACGCUAAUACCGCAUACGACCUACGGGUGAAAGCAGGGGAUCUUCGGACCUUGCGCGAUUGAAUGAGCCGAUGUCGGAUUAGCUAGUUGGCGGGGUAAAGGCCCACCAAGGCGACGAUCCGUAGCUGGUCUGAGAGGAUGAUCAGCCACACUGGAACUGAGACACGGUCCAGACUCCUACGGGAGGCAGCAGUAGGGAAUAUUGGACAAUGGGCGCAAGCCUGAUCCAGCCAUGCCGCGUGGGUGAAGAAGGCCUUCGGGUUGUAAAGCCCUUUUGUUGGGAAAGAAAAGCAGCAGGUUAAUCCCCCGCUGUUUUGACGGUACCCAAAGAAUAAGCACCGGCUAACUUCGUG